UUACAAUGAAUGAUGACGAUGA
Molecule: non-coding RNA, 22 nt
Filed under: Arabidopsis thaliana (thale cress)
Lineage: Eukaryota; Viridiplantae; Streptophyta; Magnoliopsida; Brassicales; Brassicaceae
Source: RNAcentral